GACGAACGCUGGCGGCGUGCUUAACACAUGCAAGUCGAACGGAAAGGCCCUGCUUUUGUGGGGUGCUCGAGUGGCGAACGGGUGAGUAACACGUGAGUAACCUGCCCUUGACUUUGGGAUAACUUCAGGAAACUGGGGCUAAUACCGGAUAGGAGCCCCUGCUGCAUGGUGGGGGUUGGAAAGUUUCGGCGGUUGGGGAUGGACUCGCGGCUUAUCAGCUUGGUGGUGGGGUAGUGGCUUACCAAGGCUUUGACGGGUAGCCGGCCUGAGAGGGUGACCGGCCCCAUUGGGACUGAGAUACGGCCCAGACUCCUCCGGGAGGCAGCAGUGGGGAGGGUUGCACAAUGGGCGGAAGCCUGAUGCAGCAACGCCGCGUGCGGGAUGACGGCCUUCGGGUUGUAAACCGCUUUCGCCUGGGACGAGGCGUGAGUGACGGUAAUGGGUAAAGAAGCACCGGCUAACUACGUG
This 468-nucleotide ribosomal RNA is filed under the name uncultured bacterium. RNAcentral's name for it is "partial 16S ribosomal RNA". It matches the Rfam family "Bacterial small subunit ribosomal RNA", at positions 28 to 507 of the family's 1533-position model. The record is from RNAcentral.